RNAcentral lists this ribosomal RNA (253 nucleotides) under uncultured bacterium. RNAcentral's name for it is "partial 16S ribosomal RNA". It matches the Rfam family "Bacterial small subunit ribosomal RNA", at positions 524 to 776 of the family's 1533-position model. The record is from RNAcentral.
UACGUAGGGAGCAAGCGUUAUCCGGAUUUACUGGGUGUAAAGGGAGCGCAGGCGGCACGGCAAGCCUGAUGUGAAAGCCCGCGGCCCAACCGCGGGACUGCAUUGGGAACUACCGGGCUGGAGUGCCGGAGAGGUAGGCGGAAUUCCUAGUGUAGCGGUGAAAUGCGUAGAUAUUAGGAGGAACACCAGUGGCGAAGGCGGCCUACUGGACGGCGACUGACGCUGAGGCUCGAAAGCGUGGGGAGCAAACAGG